AUUGAACGCUGGCGGCAGGCCUAACACAUGCAAGUCGAGCGGAUGAAGGGAGCUUGCUCCUGGAUUCAGCGGCGGACGGGUGAGUAAUGCCUAGGAAUCUGCCUGGUAGUGGGGGAUAACGUCCGGAAACGGGCGCUAAUACCGCAUACGUCCUGAGGGAGAAAGUGGGGGAUCUUCGGACCUCACGCUAUCAGAUGAGCCUAGGUCGGAUUAGCUAGUUGGUGGGGUAAAGGCCUACCAAGGCGACGAUCCGUAACUGGUCUGAGAGGAUGAUCAGUCACACUGGAACUGAGACACGGUCCAGACUCCUACGGGAGGCAGCAGUGGGGAAUAUUGCACGAUGGGCGAAAGCCUGAUACAGCCAUGCCGCGUGUGUGAAGAAGGUCUUCGGAUUGUAAAGCACUUUAAGUUGGGAGGAAGGGCAGUAAGUUAAUACCUUGCUGUUUUGACGUUACCAACAGAAUAAGCACCGGCUAACUUCGUG
Molecule: ribosomal RNA, 484 nt
Filed under: uncultured bacterium
Lineage: Bacteria
Description: partial 16S ribosomal RNA
Rfam family: Bacterial small subunit ribosomal RNA
Source: RNAcentral